UGUGCAGGCGGUCGUUUAAGUUUGGUGUGAAAUCUCCCGGCUCAACUGGGAGGGUGCGCCGAAUACUGAAUGACUAGAGUGCGGGAGAGGAGAGUGGAAUUCCUGGUGUAGCGGUGAAAUGCGUAGAUAUCAGGAGGAACACCGGCGGUGUAGACGGCCCUCUGGACCGCGACUGACGCUGAGACACGAAAGCGUGGGUAGCAAACAGGAUUAGAUACCCUGGUAGUCCACGCCCUAAACGAUGCAUAUUUGGUGUGGGCAGUUCAUUCUGUCCGUGCCGGAGCUAACGCGUUAAAUAUGCCGCCUGGGGAGUACAGUCGCAAGGCUGAA
Molecule: ribosomal RNA, 330 nt
Filed under: uncultured bacterium
Lineage: Bacteria
Description: bacterial SSU rRNA
Rfam family: Bacterial small subunit ribosomal RNA
Source: RNAcentral